Molecule: unclassified non-coding RNA, 267 nt
Filed under: uncultured Trichoderma
Lineage: Eukaryota; Fungi; Ascomycota; Sordariomycetes; Hypocreales; Hypocreaceae
Description: sequence contains ITS2
Rfam family: 5.8S ribosomal RNA (bases 1-52)
Source: RNAcentral
AACGCACAUUGCGCCCGCCAGUAUUCUGGCGGGCAUGCCUGUCCGAGCGUCAUUUCAACCCUCGAGCCCCCCCGGGGGGUCGGCGUUGGGGAUCGGCUGUCAAGUCAAGACUGCCGGCCCCGAAAUGCAGUGGCGGUCUCGCCGCAGCCUCUCCUGCGCAGUAGCUUGCACGCUCGCAACGGGAGCGCGGCGCGUCCACGGCCGUGAAACAACCCAAACUUCUGAAAGGUUGACCUCGGAUCAGGUAGGAAUACCCGCUGAACUUAA